GUGUCAGCAGCCGCGGUAAUACGUAGGUGGCAAGCGUUGUCCGGAUUUAUUGGGCGUAAAGCGCGCGCAGGUGGUUCGUUGCGUCCGAGGUGAAAUCUCCCGGCUCAACUGGGAGGGGUCUUCGGAUACGGGCGAACUAGAGGAGAGCAGAGGUAGGCGGAAUUCUGGGUGUAGUGGUGAAAUGCGUAGAUAUCCAGAGGAACACCAGUGGCGAAGGCGGCCUACUGGGCUCCACCUGACACUGAGGCGCGAAAGCGUGGGGAGCGAACCGGAUUAGAUACCCGGGUAGUCCACGCCGUAAACGAUGGGCACUAGGUGUGAGGGGUAUUGACCCCCCUCGUGCCGUAGCUAACGCGUUAAGUGCCCCGCCUGGGGAGUACGGCCGCAAGGCUAAA
Molecule: ribosomal RNA, 395 nt
Filed under: uncultured bacterium
Lineage: Bacteria
Description: bacterial SSU rRNA
Rfam family: Bacterial small subunit ribosomal RNA
Source: RNAcentral